This 247-nucleotide ribosomal RNA is filed under the name uncultured bacterium. RNAcentral describes it as "partial 16S ribosomal RNA". It matches the Rfam family "Bacterial small subunit ribosomal RNA", at positions 523 to 769 of the family's 1533-position model. The record is from RNAcentral.
AUACGGAGGGUGCGAGCGUUGUCCGGAAUUACUGGGCGUAAAGCGCACGUAGGCGGGUUUUUAAGUCGGCCGUGAAAGGCACUGGCUCAACCGGUGCAUGUCGGUCGAUACUGGAAGCCUUGAGUAUGGGAGAGGGCAGUGGAAUUCCUGGUGUAGGAGUGAAAUCCGUAGAUAUCAGGAGGAACACCGGUGGCGAAGGCGGCUGCCUGGACCGAUAUUGACGCUGAGACGCGAAAGCGUGGGUAGC